RNAcentral lists this transfer RNA (87 nucleotides) under bacterium CG10_46_32. RNAcentral describes it as "tRNA-Leu". It matches the Rfam family "tRNA". Rfam says of the family: Transfer RNA (tRNA) molecules are approximately 80 nucleotides in length. Their secondary structure includes four short double-helical elements and three loops (D, anti-codon, and T loops). Further hydrogen bonds mediate the characteristic L-shaped molecular structure. tRNAs have two regions of fundamental functional importance: the anti-codon, which is responsible for specific mRNA codon recognition, and the 3' end, to which the tRNAs corresponding amino acid is attached (by aminoacyl-tRNA synthetases). tRNAs cope with the degeneracy of the genetic code in two manners: having more than one tRNA (with a specific anti-codon) for a particular amino acid; and 'wobble' base-pairing, i.e. permitting non-standard base-pairing at the 3rd anti-codon position. RNAcentral also lists the same sequence under 1 other name. The record is from RNAcentral.
GCCGCGGUGGCGGAAUUGGUAGACGCACAGGAUUCAAAAUCCUGCGAUGGCAACAUCAUGAGAGUUCGAUUCUCUCCCGCGGCACCA